RNAcentral lists this ribosomal RNA (643 nucleotides) under uncultured Lachnospiraceae bacterium. RNAcentral's name for it is "bacterial SSU rRNA". It matches the Rfam family "Bacterial small subunit ribosomal RNA", at positions 66 to 724 of the family's 1533-position model. Lineage: Bacteria; Bacillati; Bacillota; Clostridia; Lachnospirales; Lachnospiraceae. The record is from RNAcentral.
AUUGAAACUUCGGUCGAUUUAAUUUAAUUCUAGUGGCGGACGGGUGAGUAACGCGUGGGUAACCUGCCUUAUACAGGGGGAUAACAGUCAGAAAUGGCUGCUAAUACCGCAUAAGCGCACAGAGCUGCAUGGCUCGGUGUGAAAAACUCCGGUGGUAUAAGAUGGACCCGCGUUGGAUUAGCUUGUUGGUGGGGUAACGGCCCACCAAGGCGACGAUCCAUAGCCGGCCUGAGAGGGUGAACGGCCACAUUGGGACUGAGACACGGCCCAGACUCCUACGGGAGGCAGCAGUGGGGAAUAUUGCACAAUGGGGGAAACCCUGAUGCAGCGACGCCGCGUGAAGGAAGAAGUAUCUCGGUAUGUAAACUUCUAUCAGCAGGGAAGAUAGUGACGGUACCUGACUAAGAAGCCCCGGCUAACUACGUGCCAGCAGCCGCGGUAAUACGUAGGGGGCAAGCGUUAUCCGGAUUUACUGGGUGUAAAGGGAGCGUAGACGGUGUGGCAAGUCUGAUGUGAAAGGCAUGGGCUCAACCUGUGGACUGCAUUGGAAACUGUCAUGCUUGAGUGCCGGAGGGGUAAGCGGAAUUCCUAGUGUAGCGGUGGAAUGCGUAGAUAUUAGGAGGAACACCAGUGGCGAAGGCGG